ACUGGAAAGAAAGCCAAAGGAAAAAAAGCCUCUAAAAAUGUGUAAAAUUGAUUAUUUAUUCUCGUGUGUGUGUGUGUGUGUGUGUGCGUGUGUUAGAGCUCACUCCACAUGACUUAUCAGAUGCUGUCAACUUUGUACAAUGUUUUUAUGACAUGUUACCUAAAGUAACAGCUUGUGAUGGUGUCAUACUGUCAGUAAAUACUAUUUUAUGUACUGUGAUGGCUCUCUGUUGAUAUUGUCAGAGCAUUAUAUAUAAAAUGAACAAUAAAAC
This is a long non-coding RNA of Etheostoma spectabile (orangethroat darter), 271 nucleotides long. RefSeq lists it as uncharacterized. The record is from RefSeq and is a predicted model, not a curated record. Lineage: Eukaryota; Metazoa; Chordata; Actinopteri; Perciformes; Percidae. The transcript has 3 exons.